AGAGUUUGAUCAUGGCUCAGAUUGAACGCUGGCGGCAGGCUUAACACAUGCAAGUCGAGCGGUAAACUAUGGUCGCUUGCUACCAAGCGUCGAGCGGCGGACGGGUGAGUAAUGCUUAGGAAUCUGCCUAAUAGUGGGGGAUAGCCCGGGGAAACUCGGAUUAAUACCGCAUACGCCCUACGGGGGAAAGCAGGGGAUCCGCNCUUCGGAAAGGACCUUGCGCUAUUAAAUGAGCCUAAGUCGGAUUAGCUAGUUGGUGGGGUAAUGGCCUACCAAGGCGACGAUCCGUAGCUGGUCUGAGAGGAUGAUCAGCCACAUCGGGACUGAGACACGGCCCGAACUCCUACGGGAGGCAGCAGUGGGGAAUAUUGGACAAUGGGCGCAAGCCUGAUCCAGCCAUGCCGCGUGUGUGAAGAAGGCUUUCGGGUUGUAAAGCACUUUCAGCGAGGAAGAAGGCCUUCAGGUUAAUACUCUUGAGGAUUGACGUCACUCGCAAUCGGAAUUACUGGGCGUAAAGCGCGCGUAGGUGGUGGUUUAAGCGAGAUGUGAGAGCCCCGGGCUCAACCUGGGAACGGCAUUUCGAACUGCCUGGCUAGAGUGUUGUAGAGGAUAGUGGAAUUUCCUGUGUAGCGGUGAAAUGCGUAGAUAUAGGAAGGAACACCAGUGGGGAAGGCGGCUACCUGGUCCAACACUGACACUGAGGUGCGAAAGCGUGGGGAGCAAACAGGAUUAGAUACCCUGGUAGUCCACGCCGUAAACGAUGUCAACUAGCCGUUGGGGAUCUUGAAUCCUUAGUGGCGCAGCUAACGCACUAAGUUGACCGCCUGGGGAGUACGGCCGCAAGGUUAAAACUCAAAUGAAUUGACGGGGGCCCGCACAAGCGGUGGAGCAUGUGGUUUAAUUCGACGCAACGCGAAGAACCUUACCUGGCCUUGACAUGCAGAGAACUUUCCAGAGAUGGAUCGGUGCCUUCGGGAACUCUGACACAGGUGCUGCAUGGCCGUCGUCAGCUCGUGUCGUGAGAUGUUGGGUUAAGUCCCGUAACGAGCGCAACCCUUAUCCCUAGUUGCUAGCAGGUAAUGCUGAGAACUCUAGGGAGACUGCCGGUGACAAACCGGAGGAAGGUGGGGAUGACGUCAGGUCAUCAUGGCCCUUACGGCCAGGGCUACACACGUGCUACAAUGGCGCGCACAGAGGGCUGCAAACCCGCGAGGGGGAGCCAAUCUCACAAAACGCGUCGUAGUCCGGAUCGGAGUCUGCAACUCGACUCCGUGAAGUCGGAAUCGCUAGUAAUCGUGAAUCAGAAUGUCACGGUGAAUACGUUCCCGGGCCUUGUACACACCGCCCGUCACACCAUGGGAGUGGAUUGCACCAGAAGUAGUUAGUCUAACCCUCUGGGAGGACGAUUACCAGUGGCUGAUUCA
Molecule: ribosomal RNA, 1424 nt
Filed under: Marinobacter sp.
Lineage: Bacteria; Pseudomonadati; Pseudomonadota; Gammaproteobacteria; Pseudomonadales; Marinobacteraceae
Description: bacterial SSU rRNA
Rfam family: Bacterial small subunit ribosomal RNA
Source: RNAcentral